GAUGAACGCUGGCGGCGUGCCUAAUACAUGCCAGUCGAGCGAACAGACGAGGAGCUUGCUCCUCUGACGUUAGCGGCGGACGGGUGAGUAACACGUGGAUAACCUACCUAUAAGACUGGGAUAACUUCGGGAAACCGGAGCUAAUACCGGAUAAUAUAUUGAACCGCAUGGUUCAAUAGUGAAAGACGGUUUUGCUGUCACUUAUAGAUGGAUCCGCACCGCAUUAGCUAGUUGGUAAGGUAACGGCUUACCAAGGCAACGAUGCGUAGCCGACCUGAGAGGGUGAUCGGCCACACUGGAACUGAGACACGGUCCAGACUCCUACGGGAGGCAGCAGUAGGGAAUCUUCCGCAAUGGGCGAAAGCCUGACGGAGCAACGCCGCGUGAGUGAUGAAGGUCUUCGGAUCGUAAAACUCUGUUAUUAGGGAAGAACAAAUGUGUAAGUAACUAUGCACGUCUUGACGGUACCUAAUCAGAAAGCCACGGCUAACUACGUG
Molecule: ribosomal RNA, 497 nt
Filed under: uncultured bacterium
Lineage: Bacteria
Description: partial 16S ribosomal RNA
Rfam family: Bacterial small subunit ribosomal RNA
Source: RNAcentral